This 253-nucleotide ribosomal RNA is filed under the name uncultured bacterium. RNAcentral describes it as "partial 16S ribosomal RNA". It matches the Rfam family "Bacterial small subunit ribosomal RNA", at positions 524 to 776 of the family's 1533-position model. The record is from RNAcentral.
UACGGAGGGUGCGAGCGUUGUUCGGAAUCACUGGGCGUAAAGCGCGUGUAGGCGGCCCAUUAAGUCUGAUGUGAAAGCCCGGGGCUCACCCCCGGAAGUGCAUUGGAAACUGAUGGACUCGAGUCCCGGAGAGGAGAGUGGAAUUCCUGGUGUAGCGGUGAAAUGCGUAGAUAUCAGGAGGAACACCGGUGGCGAAGGCGGCUCUCUGGACGGUGACUGACGCUGAGGCGCGAAAGCUAGGGGAGCAAACGGG